This 588-nucleotide long non-coding RNA is filed under the name Anser brachyrhynchus (Pink-footed goose). RNAcentral describes it as "lncRNA (ENSABRG00000020966.1)". The record is from RNAcentral. Lineage: Eukaryota; Metazoa; Chordata; Aves; Anseriformes; Anatidae.
UUUGGAAAAGUCAUUGAUACAGAAUUACACUGGAGGACACAGUGGCAUUCCUGAAGUAUGCCAGCGAGCAGCUAACUGAGAUUAUAGAUUUGUGUACAUCAUUUGAACUUCAAUGGUUAUUUGGUAACUCUUACAAUCUAUUGCGUGUGUCAAACAGCAAAACAAAUGUAUAAAGAGGAGUGAUUGCUUCAGCAUUUCCUUGUUUUUUUUUUUCCCUAUUUGUUGCUCAUUUUUGUCUUUUUUUUUUCUUUUUUUCUUUUCUUUUUUUUUUUUUCUUUUUCUUGUAGUUUGCUUUGGUUACUGUUUCCGGUGAAGCAAGAGUUUGGAGAGUGCAAGUGGUGUUAGAACGGUGCUGUGCACAGCUGGGAACGAAGGCACCUCCCCAUGCAAAGCCAGCUCUCGGAUCCGAACCGAUGCAAAGGGAAAGUCUCCGUGCAGGGGGCACGUCGGGGCUGUCCUCGGGCAGGCGCAGCGGCAGCACCGAGCACAGACCUGGACCUCUGGGUGCAGAACUGAAUUUUCUGAUUUCCAGAUGCAACUGCAAUAUAAAGUAGAAAUAAAACAAGGCAGUUAAAUUGUUGAAGCCCA